RNAcentral lists this non-coding RNA (118 nucleotides) under Heyndrickxia coagulans. Its description in RNAcentral is "ylbH leader". It matches the Rfam family "ylbH leader". Rfam says of the family: This family is a putative regulatory RNA structure that is found upstream of the ylbH gene in B. subtilis and related low GC Gram-positive bacteria. Lineage: Bacteria; Bacillati; Bacillota; Bacilli; Caryophanales; Bacillaceae. The record is from RNAcentral.
AUAAAAAACCCUGCAGCCAAUACUGCAGGGCCCUUCUAUAUCCUUAUUCCGGACAGAAGGCAAAGGGAGAGGAGAAAUCGGAGGAAGAACUUAUGGGGAAACGUAAGUCUUCUCCGCG